CCUACGGGUGGCAGCAGUCGAGAAUCAUUCACAAUGGGGGAAACCCUGAUGGUGCGACGCCGCGUGGGGGAAUGAAGGUCUUCGGAUUGUAAACCCCUGUCAUGUGGGAGCAAAUUAAAAAGAUCGUACCACACGAGGAAGAGACGGCUAACUCUGUGCCAGCAGCCGCGGUAAUACAGAGGUCUCAAGCGUUGUUCGGAAUCACUGGGCGUAAAGCGUGCGUAGGCUGUUUCGUAAGUCGUGUGUGAAAGGCGCGGGCUCAACCCGCGGACGGCACAUGAUACUGCGAGACUAGAGUAAUGGAGGGGGAACCGGAAUUCUCGGUGUAGCAGUGAAAUGCGUAGAUAUCGAGAGGAACACUCGUGGCGAAGGCGGGUUCCUGGACAUUAACUGACGCUGAGGCACGAAGGCCAGGGGAGCGAAAGGGAUUAGAUACCCUAGUAGUC
RNAcentral lists this ribosomal RNA (446 nucleotides) under uncultured bacterium. Its description in RNAcentral is "partial 16S ribosomal RNA". It matches the Rfam family "Bacterial small subunit ribosomal RNA", at positions 338 to 795 of the family's 1533-position model. The record is from RNAcentral.